GGCUGAUGAAGGCGACCGAAGAAGGAUGGGGGAAGCGCGACCUCGAUCGGGAGUUGAAGGCCUCAGAGAAGCGCGGCGUGCUCUCCGGCAAAGCGGAACUCGAAGGCAUGUUCCGUGUCUGGUCGAUCGGUUGCCCGUGGACGUAUAAAAGCGCUCAGCCAUCGAAGGCGAGCGCGCAAACGCAUUACCCGGGGAUGACGGUCGACGAGCUGGUCGCAAUGGGUAACUCCAUCAGGGC
This 238-nucleotide unclassified non-coding RNA is filed under the name fungal sp. Its description in RNAcentral is "partial internal transcribed spacer region". Lineage: Eukaryota; Fungi. The record is from RNAcentral.